This 533-nucleotide ribosomal RNA is filed under the name uncultured bacterium. Its description in RNAcentral is "bacterial SSU rRNA". It matches the Rfam family "Bacterial small subunit ribosomal RNA", at positions 777 to 1301 of the family's 1533-position model. The record is from RNAcentral.
AAUAGAUACCCUGGUAGUCCACGCCGUAAACGAUGUCGACUUGGAGGUUGUUCCCGUUGAGGAGUGGCUUCCGGGAGCUAACGCGUUAAGUCGACCGCCUGGGGAGUACGGCCGCAAGGGUUAAAACUCAAAUGAAUUGACGGGGGGCCCGCACGAAGCGGUGGAGCAUGUGGUUUUAAUUCGAUGCAACGCGAAGAACCUUACCUGGUCUUGACAUCCACAGAAUUCUGCAGAGAUGCGGAAGUGCCUUCGGGAACUGUGAGACAGGUGCUGCAUGGCUGUCGUCAGCUCGUGUUGUGAAUGUUGGGUUAAGUCCCGCAACGAGCGCAACCCUUAUCCUUUGUUGCCAGCGGCUAGGCCGGGGAACUCAAAGGAGACUGCCAGUGAUAAACGUGGAGGAAGGUGGGGAUGACGUCAAGUCAUCAUGGCCCCUUACGACCAGGGGCUACACACGUGCUACAAUGGCAUAUACAAAGAGAAGCGACCUCGCGAGAGCAAGCGGACCUCAUAAAGUAUGUCGUAGUCCGGAUCGG